Molecule: ribosomal RNA, 508 nt
Filed under: uncultured bacterium
Lineage: Bacteria
Description: partial 16S ribosomal RNA
Rfam family: Bacterial small subunit ribosomal RNA
Source: RNAcentral
GAUGAACGCUAGCUACAGGCUUAACACAUGCAAGUUGAGGGGAAACGACAUCGAAAGCUUGCUUUUGAUGGGCGUCGACCGGCGCACGGGUGAGUAACGCGUAUCCAACCUGCCCACCACUUGGGGAUAACCUUGCGAAAGUAAGACUAAUACCCAAUGAUAUCUCUAGAAGACAUCUGACAGGGAUUAAAGAUUUAUCGGUGAUGGACGGGGAUGCGUCUGAUUAGCUUGUUGGCGGGGUAACGGCCCACCAAGGCGACGAUCAGUAGGGGUUCUGAGAGGAAGGUCCCCCACAUUGGAACUGAGACACGGUCCAAACUCCUACGGGAGGCAGCAGUGAGGAAUAUUGGUCAAUGGGCGAGAGCCUGAACCAGCCAAGUAGCGUGCAGGAUGACGGCCCUAUGGGUUGUAAACUGCUUUUAUAAGGGAAUAAAGUGGGAGUCGUGACUCUUUUUGCAUGUACCUUAUGAAUAAGGACCGGCUAAUUCCGUGCCAGCCGCCGCCGUAA